Molecule: ribosomal RNA, 400 nt
Filed under: uncultured bacterium
Lineage: Bacteria
Description: bacterial SSU rRNA
Rfam family: Bacterial small subunit ribosomal RNA
Source: RNAcentral
UGGGGAAUUUUCCGCAAUGGGCGAAAGCCUGACGGAGCAAUACCGCGUGAGGGACGAAGGCCUGUGGGUUGUAAACCUCUUUUCUCAGGGAAGAAGAUCUGACGGUACCUGAGGAAUCAGCAUCGGCUAACUCCGUGCCAGCAGCCGCGGUAAGACGGAGGAUGCAAGCGUUAUCCGGAAUUAUUGGGCGUAAAGCGUCCGCAGGCGGUUUCGUAAGUCUGUCUUUAAAGAGUGGAGCUUAACUCCAUAAAGGGGAUGGAAACUGCGAGACUAGAGGUAGGUAGGGGUAGAAGGAAUUCCCAGUGUAGCGGUGAAAUGCGUAGAUAUUGGGAAGAACACCAGCAGCGAAGGCGUUCUACUGGACCAAACCUGACGCUCAUGGACGAAAGCUAGGGGAGCG